AAGUCUGCUGUUAAAAAGUGGAGCUUAACUCCAUCAUGGCAGUGGAAACUGUUGGGCUUGAGUGUGGUAGGGGCAGAGGGAAUUCCCGGUGUAGCGGUGAAAUGCGUAGAUAUCGGGAAGAACACCAGUGGCGAAGGCGCUCUGCUGGGCCAUCACUGACGCUCAUGGACGAAAGCCAGGGGAGCGAAAGGGAUUAGAUACCCCUGUAGUCCUGGCCGUAAACGAUGAACACUAGGUGUCGGGGGAAUCGACCCCUCCGGUGUCGUAGCCAACGCGUUAAGUGUUCCGCCUGGGGAGUACGCACGCAAGUGUGAAACUCAAAUGAA
RNAcentral lists this ribosomal RNA (326 nucleotides) under uncultured bacterium. Its description in RNAcentral is "bacterial SSU rRNA". It matches the Rfam family "Bacterial small subunit ribosomal RNA", at positions 585 to 909 of the family's 1533-position model. The record is from RNAcentral.